UACAGAGGCCCCAAGCGUUAUCCGGAAUUAUUGGGCGUAAAGCGUCCGCAGGCGGGAUGGUGCGUCUGCUGUUAAAUCCAUGGGCUCAACCCAUUGGGCGGCAGCAGAUACGGCCAUUCUUGAGGCAGGGAGAGGUAAGCGGAACUCCUGGUGGAGCGGUGAAAUGCGUUGAUAUCAGGGGGAACACCAAUUGCGAAGGCAGCUUACUGGCCCUGUCCUGACGCUCAGGGACGACAGCGUAGGGAGAGAACGGG
This 254-nucleotide unclassified non-coding RNA is filed under the name uncultured Parcubacteria group bacterium. RNAcentral describes it as "contains 16S-23S intergenic spacer region". It matches the Rfam family "Bacterial small subunit ribosomal RNA", at positions 524 to 776 of the family's 1533-position model. The record is from RNAcentral.